This 240-nucleotide ribosomal RNA is filed under the name Escherichia coli. Its description in RNAcentral is "partial 16S ribosomal RNA". It matches the Rfam family "Bacterial small subunit ribosomal RNA", at positions 1 to 235 of the family's 1533-position model. Lineage: Bacteria; Pseudomonadati; Pseudomonadota; Gammaproteobacteria; Enterobacterales; Enterobacteriaceae. The record is from RNAcentral.
UUAAAUUGAAGAGUUUGAUCAUGGCUCAGAUUGAACGCUGGCGGCAGGCCUAACACAUGCAAGUCGAACGGUAACAGGAAGCAGCUUGCUGUUUUGCUGACGAGUGGCGGACGGGUGAGUAAUGUCUGGGAAACUGCCUGAUGGAGGGGGAUAACUACUGGAAACGGUAGCUAAUACCGCAUAACGUCGCAAGACCAAAGAGGGGGACCUUAGGGCCUCUUGCCAUCGGAUGUGCCCAGA